UUUAUUCUUUUAGCGCCAGGGCUAGAGAUAGUUGACGAGGACAAAGUUAUCGAAAUAUUCGGCGGAUGCUUUGCGGAAUGUCUAUUCCGAUAGGAUAUUAAUUAUUCAUAGACAUCAGUCAUUAAG
This 126-nucleotide non-coding RNA is filed under the name Sneathia vaginalis. Its description in RNAcentral is "Sneathia amnii GlcN6P sequence". It matches the Rfam family "glmS glucosamine-6-phosphate activated ribozyme aptamer". Rfam says of the family: This entry contains a glucosamine-6-phosphate activated ribozyme that is found in the mRNA for GlmS. GlmS is an enzyme that uses fructose-6-phosphate and glutamine to generate glucosamine-6-phosphate. The record is from Rfam by way of RNAcentral. Lineage: Bacteria; Fusobacteriati; Fusobacteriota; Fusobacteriia; Fusobacteriales; Leptotrichiaceae.